RNAcentral lists this long non-coding RNA (776 nucleotides) under Zonotrichia albicollis (white-throated sparrow). Its description in RNAcentral is "lncRNA (ENSZALG00000013838.1)". The record is from RNAcentral. Lineage: Eukaryota; Metazoa; Chordata; Aves; Passeriformes; Passerellidae.
CCCAAUCCCAGGAAUCCCGGCCAGAUCCCUCUGCACAGGACAGAAAUAGAUUGUAAUUGACAGAUGACAGGCUCUGGCCAAGUCCUGGUGCUUCAGAAGGGGGGAUGCAGGGAUAAGGGCUAUUAUUAUCCCUGUUAUUUUUUAUUUGGGAAGUGCUCCUACCGCCUCAAGCGCUCCCGGGAUUGCCGGCAAGAGCCUUCCUGUCCUUGGAACACGGGAUUUCUGGGAUCCAAGGGUGUGACUGGAGAUGAGCUAUGAGCUGUGGGAUGGAUGUGCUAACAACCUUUGGCAGAAAGGAGAGGACUGGACCAGCACUUCAUCCCGGCUGGAGACAUUCCAGGGCCAAGGAAUUGCCACACCAAGGAGCGGCUGGGAAGUGAGAGUCGGACAAAGCGGCGGAAGCCAGGGUGAAACAUCUCACAAAGGCCAACUAUCGCCCGGCUUUCCCAAGCAGACAUUAUUCCAUGCCACAGCAUUGGAUACAACUGGAGCCCAACUUGGCUUUGAAGCCUAGCAGCGCCUGCCUGGAAUAUCCAGCUCCAGCUCCAAUGGAGGUGUUCCCUGUGCCUCCAAAGCAGGAGAUUCACACCUGAGCACACUGCAGGUCAAUGCUAUCCAACAGCACCGCUUCCAUUUUCACCAAAGGAAACUCAAACCACCCCAAUUCCCACCCAUGCUGGGACACCCUCGGCGAUCCAGAGGCAGAUUCCCAUUGUUACAGCUGUCAAGAGGAGAUGCCUGGGAAAGGAGCUCAAUAAACAGAGAGAGAAUGAACA